RNAcentral lists this ribosomal RNA (253 nucleotides) under uncultured bacterium. RNAcentral's name for it is "partial 16S ribosomal RNA". It matches the Rfam family "Bacterial small subunit ribosomal RNA", at positions 524 to 776 of the family's 1533-position model. The record is from RNAcentral.
UACAGAGGGUGCAAGCGUUAAUCGGAAUUACUGGGCGUAAAGCGCGCGUAGGCGGCCUUGCAAGUCGGGUGUGAAAUCCCCAGGCUUAACCUGGGAACUGCAUUCGAGACUGCAUUGCUAGAGUAUGGGAGAGGGAAGUGGAAUUUCAGGUGUAGCGGUGAAAUGCGUAGAUAUCUGAAGGAACAUCAGUGGCGAAAGCGACUUCCUGGCCCGAUACUGACGCUCAUGUACGAAAGCGUGGGGGGCAAACAGG